RNAcentral lists this ribosomal RNA (468 nucleotides) under uncultured bacterium. RNAcentral's name for it is "partial 16S ribosomal RNA". It matches the Rfam family "Bacterial small subunit ribosomal RNA", at positions 28 to 507 of the family's 1533-position model. The record is from RNAcentral.
GACGAACGCUGGCGGCGUGCUUAACACAUGCAAGUCGAACGGAAAGGCCCUGCUUUUGUGGGGUGCUCGAGUGGCGAACGGGUGAGUAACACGUGAGUAACCUGCCCUUGACUUUGGGAUAACUUCAGGAAACUGGGGCUAAUACCGGAUAGGAGCUCCUGCUGCAUGGUGGGGGUUGGAAAGUUUCGGCGGUUGGGGAUGGACUCGCGGCUUAUCAGCUUGUUGGUGGGGUAGUGGCUUACCAAGGCUUUGACGGGUAGCCGGCCUGAGAGGGUGACCGGCCACAUUGGGACUGAGAUACGGCCCAGACUCCUACGGGACGCAGCGGUGGGGAAUAUUGCACAGUGGGCGGAAGCCUGAUGCAGCAACGCCGCGUGCGGGAUGACGGCCUUCGGGUUGUAAACCGCUUUCGCCUGUGACGAAGCGUGAGUGACGGUAAUGGGUAAAGAAGCACCGGCUAACUACGUG